UACGGGGGGGGCAAGCGUUGUUCGGAAUUACUGGGCGUAAAGGGCUCGUAGGUGGCCAACUAAGUCAGACGUGAAAUCCCUCGGCUUAACCGGGGAACUGCGUCUGAUACUGGAUGGCUAGAGUUUGGGAGAGGGAUGCGGAAUUCCAGGUGUAGCGGUGAAAUGCGUAGAUAUCGGGAAGAACACCCGUGGCGAAGGCGGCUCUCUGGGACGGUACUGACGCUGAGACGCGAAAGCUAGGGGAGCAAACGGG
Molecule: ribosomal RNA, 253 nt
Filed under: uncultured bacterium
Lineage: Bacteria
Description: partial 16S ribosomal RNA
Rfam family: Bacterial small subunit ribosomal RNA
Source: RNAcentral